GGAUUUAGAGAACAAGAAACCUUUUGAUUGAUUGAGUUUUACUUUGUGGUUUAACAUUUUAAUUUCACUUUGUAUUUAAUCGGUUAUAAAUCUUUGAAUUUGGUUUCUCCUAUUCUUUCAAAAAAAUCGAAUUUGAAUUUCUGUUUAUGUUUUCAAUCUCUGUCCAUGGCUGGCAAAUGAAUUCCCAAUUAACGUUUCCCUCUUGCUCUUGAUGCAGGUUAAAAGACCUAAUUUUAUGUUCAUUGUAAAUUAUGAUUUCUUGAAUUUAUUAAGGGAUUGGAGAAUUUUCAGAGUUAAAGUUUGUAUCUUUUAGAUUUCAAGGUUAAAGGACCUAUGCAGAUCGAUAAAUACAGUCAAUUGAACCAAAAGAGAGAGAUCAAAUUUAAAACUUGAUUGAAGUGGUACGAUCACUUUGUUUCUUGAUAGGUCUUCUUUGUUUUUUCUUGAUAGGUCUUCUUUGUUGUAAUGAUCGUGUUUCAAUUUUUAAGCAUAAAUGCAAAAUUGAGCUACUGUUUUUGUUAAUUGUAAAAUCAUGAUUACUCAGAAUAUUUUACAAUUAAUUGCAAAAUCUUCAAAAUUUUAUUCCUGCA
Molecule: long non-coding RNA, 590 nt
Organism: Populus trichocarpa (black cottonwood)
Lineage: Eukaryota; Viridiplantae; Streptophyta; Magnoliopsida; Malpighiales; Salicaceae
Exons: 2
Source: RefSeq, a predicted model, not a curated record